UCUCCUGUAGCUCAGUAUUAGAGCGUUUGACUGGUGUACUGAAGGUCAUAGGUUCCACUCCUGUUGGGAGAA
This 72-nucleotide transfer RNA is filed under the name Desmophyllum pertusum. RNAcentral describes it as "Lophelia pertusa tRNA". It matches the Rfam family "tRNA". From Rfam's summary of the family: Transfer RNA (tRNA) molecules are approximately 80 nucleotides in length. Their secondary structure includes four short double-helical elements and three loops (D, anti-codon, and T loops). Further hydrogen bonds mediate the characteristic L-shaped molecular structure. tRNAs have two regions of fundamental functional importance: the anti-codon, which is responsible for specific mRNA codon recognition, and the 3' end, to which the tRNAs corresponding amino acid is attached (by aminoacyl-tRNA synthetases). tRNAs cope with the degeneracy of the genetic code in two manners: having more than one tRNA (with a specific anti-codon) for a particular amino acid; and 'wobble' base-pairing, i.e. permitting non-standard base-pairing at the 3rd anti-codon position. The record is from Rfam by way of RNAcentral. Lineage: Eukaryota; Metazoa; Cnidaria; Anthozoa; Scleractinia; Caryophylliidae.